CUUUUUAGGGCUGCACCUGUGGCAUAUGGAAGUCCUCAGGCUAGGGGUCGAAACUGGAGCUACAGCUGCAGGCCUAUACCACAGCCACAGCAACUCUGGAUCCUUAACCCGUUGAGCAAGAACAGGGAUCAGAAGCGACAUCCUCGUGGAUACUAGUCGGGUUCAUAACCCGCUGAGUCACAGGGGGAACUCCCCCUGCUGCUGGAGCUUAAGCAGGUCACCUCGCUGUCCUGCUCUUGGGCUUCUUCACCUUCCCAAGAGAAGCUGCUUACAUCACAAGCUCUGGGUGAGCGUUAGAUGAAAUAACACCAGGAAAGUGGCUCUGGGAGCCAAUAGGGUGCUGAGUUCUCCUGGACCCAGAUUGGAGGCCUGACUGUGCCUCGCACUAACUCUGGGUCCCCGGGGAAACACUCAGCCCUGUGUGGCUACUUCCUGGCUCCUUAGAUGAGGAGGCAGUGGGUCCCAGCAGGCACUGCCGUAAGGGCUGAAUGACACGCAAGCAAGCGCCUGGCACCGGGAGGUCCUCUUUGCUUUUACCGCUAAAUUGUCAGGUGCAGAUCCUGGUCCGAGGUGACUCUCAUUUCCUCCCCGCCUCACUCCUCCUUGUGGUCAGGACCCCACACUGGGGGUUCCCAGCUCACCCCGCUGACAACUUGCCACGUGACUCUGGGCAGCCACAGGCCUCUCUGGAUGGCGAGCACUCGGCUGGUAAAAAGAAGGGGUUGAUUUAGAUUGUUUCCAAACUCUCCUGGUAUCAAAGUCUUCCAGGAACCUUGUACGGCAUCCAGGUUCCCUGGCCCUUCCCUUAGAGGUUCUGGUUCUGGAGGCUUGGCAGGGGACCCGGGCUGGAAUUUGUCCUUAAAACAAGUACUUCAGGUAAUUCUUGACAUCCAGAUGGUGGGGGAAACACGGGUUCGGAGAAGGCUACCCUGAGCACUCCAGUCCCACAGCCAUGCAGGCGUGGCGGCGGGAGGAGGACUAAUGCAAUGGUCAACCGGGCUUGACAUUUCAAAAAGAUUUUCAGCGUCAGCUUUCGAGAAUUAGUCAUCGCGCCAUCACUUUGACGCCCAGGCAGCUGAUAUGCAGAUGUGACCUGUGUGUGUCUGUCCUCGGACUCAGGUUUGCUUUCCUCCAGAGACCGCCGGCCUCGCUGGGAGGAGCACUGGGCCAGGAGCAUCUCAUCAGCCAUUCCCCCUGGCGUGCUUCCUUGAGUUUCUACAACACCCACUGUCUUGGCAUCCCCUUGGAGCGCAGGGGCUCCCAGAGGGCUGUGCGGGAGGGAGGGGAGGGCCAGCAGCCUGCAAGUGGAGCUCCCAGCGACCGGGGAACAACCGAAGGCAGGAGGCUGACUGGUGGGGGUGGCGGAGAUUGUGGCUUUGGAAGCAGGGCCUGCUGGGGCCCCAUCUGAGCCCACACCUGCCCAUCACAGCUGCGAGCCCGGGGGCAAGUUCCUUUGAUCUAUCCGAGUCUCAGCUGCGUCAUCUGUAAGCCCUCCUGCACAGAACCGCUGUGGGGGUUAAAUGAGCUCAUGAGUAAGCACAUCUUGGCUACUUACACGUCACCGCUCUCCGGGUCUCUCGAAACCUGCAUCUGCAAGUUUCUAGUGGCGAGACCUAGUUUUUCUUAGCUCCUUAGGCUGGGGAGAUGCAAAUAGCUGCACACCUGGAGAGUGAUUCAGGUUAUUUCCCCUUCCUAGCCCUGUUUCUGACCUCAGAAAAAAGGCAUGAAAUCCUCAGGGCCCAAAUACGCAGCCUUGGGGUCUGUUGAGACAGGAAGGCCCCAGAGGGUGAGGGUCCAAAAGCCACACUUACCUGAAGGAUAGAACCCAACUAGCAUCCAUGAGGAUGCAGGUUUGAUCCCGGGCCAUGCUCAGUAGGUUAAGGAUCCAGAGGUGGCAAUGCGGAGGUGGCUCGGAUCUGGCGUGGCUGUGGCUGUGGCGUAGGCCAGUGGCUGCAGCUCCAAUUCAGCCCCUAGCCUGGGAAUUUCCAUAUGCCGAAGGUGUGGCCCUAAGAGAAAAAAAAAGUCAAACUACAGGGGGAUUUUCAAUGUUAUCCUACAUCCAGGGAGAACAUUUGAGCUGGGGAGUAAAAUACUUUUGAAAGGGGAUUUGGGGAGAAUAGGCUGAUGGAAGCAGGAGCAGAAGCCAAGGAGUAUGUUCUGAGCUGCCUCUCCCUGUGCUAUUACUUGCAACAGCUCAUUUAAGUCUCGAGACACUCUUAAUAGGUGGCUGUUAUUAUCCUCGUUCUUCUGGGCCUGGGUAGCCAUGAAGAAACAAGGCUCAGAGAGGCUGAGGUUUGCCUAGAGGCCACCCAGCGCGUGAGCUGUGAAGCCAGGGCUCCGAGCCCAUAACCUACUGCCUUUUCUUUAAAAGAAUCAUCUGUACUUGAUGGUCAUGACUCGCACGUACUCUUCAGCCCCCCUGCAACAGGGCUUUGUCUCCCAUUUCAUCCCUGGCUGCCUCUGCAGUCGCAGGGAUGUGCUACGUCCAUUCUCUAGUCUAUGCAACCUCUGAUGCGGCCAAUCCUCCUUGGCUCCUGGGAUGUCAGACACUCCUGUUUCUCCUGGUCCUCCACCUGUCUCUCCACGGCCUUCAGUCCAACAUCCGGCAUGGGACUGAACCCUACCAGCCAUAUGGGCUUCGAAGUGGAUUCCUCCCCACGGGAGCCCCAGAUGAGGCCCCAGCCCAGGCCACCCUGACUGAACUGCAACCUUGUCAGACACCCUGCAGCACAGCACCCAACUCGGCUGCACUCUGACUGCCGCCCCUCAGAAACUGGGAGAUAACGUGCAUUGUACAAAGGUGCUCAGCCAGUGCUGAUUUAUCACGUGGCAAUAGGAAAUGAAGACAUUUACAGGCCUUUCUCCUGUUUGCACAAGUGGAGCUGAGCUCUUUCUGACUUAAACAGGGGUGUACACCCAUCAGAGAUGCCCCAAACCUGCUGGACCAACCCAUCUUCCUGGCCUCUCCUGCACACCUUCCCCCAUACCUACUUUGCCAUCAUGUCCUGAACCUCUCUUUUCUCUGCCUAGAAUCUGCACUUUUCUUGACCUGUGAACUCCCAUCUAUUCCUGGACUGGCUGAAAUGCCACCUCCUCCAUGAAACCCUCUGAGACUGACCCCCUGCUGUGGGAUUUCACGACGGGCUGUCUGUUCUUCCGGCCGUGUCCUCAGCUCCCUGGGCUGAGAUCUCGCCCACCACUCAGUGCCCUGCAUCUCGUCUCAUUUACCGCUGUACACCCAGCGCCUGUGAAGUCAUAGGGAUGCAAUAAACGUGUGCCGACUG
Molecule: long non-coding RNA, 3284 nt
Filed under: Sus scrofa (pig)
Lineage: Eukaryota; Metazoa; Chordata; Mammalia; Artiodactyla; Suidae
Description: lncRNA (ENSSSCG00030032852.1)
Source: RNAcentral